Long non-coding RNA from Schistocerca nitens (vagrant locust), 509 nucleotides. RefSeq lists it as uncharacterized. The transcript is spliced from 3 exons. The record is from RefSeq and is a predicted model, not a curated record. NCBI's taxonomy places the organism in Eukaryota, Metazoa, Arthropoda, Insecta, Orthoptera, Acrididae.
GGUCAACAGCUUAUUUGUGACAGUCUUUUUGUUGUGCCCAUCUGCAACUCAGCAUCUCCGCUAUAUGAUGUAGUAGGUGCGGCUGUGGCGGCACCAGUCACACAACAGCCGCUCAUGCAGCCAAUGGCAUCGACACUUGUGUGCUAGGGGCCUGCGUACGGUGUGGAAGCCACGGCCACAGCACAGCAUGGCACAGUUGUCGGCAUCCGAGCAGCGGCGCCCACGCGUCCAGCUGCACAAUGGCGGUGUCUCAUCCAGUGUAGAGACUGCCCAAAAAAGAGAGGUUGCAGACACAAGAUGGACAGCACAAAAGGACUGAUGAUUGUGAGCUGCCAAUACCUUAAGAUGUGCAAUGUGAAACAGAGACUGGAGUGACAGCUAAGGAAAAAAAGUUUUUUUGAUUGUGUGUAGGUAUUUAGCAGCCAUUCAUACAAGUAAUACUUGUAAGAGUGGCUGCAAGGGGGGGGGGGGGGGUGAAUGGGUGCAUAAUGAUACAGCCUUCAAUCGUC